AAAGCACAAGCACACGCCGCGUAUAUAUAUGUAUGUAUGUAUAUAUAUGUGUAUUUAUAUAUAGUAUAUAUAUAAAUACACAUAUAUAUACACUCACACACACAUACACUGCGGUGUGUGUGUGUGUGCU
RNAcentral lists this microRNA precursor (130 nucleotides) under Pelobates cultripes (western spadefoot toad). Lineage: Eukaryota; Metazoa; Chordata; Amphibia; Anura; Pelobatidae. The record is from RNAcentral.